RNAcentral lists this ribosomal RNA (577 nucleotides) under uncultured bacterium. RNAcentral's name for it is "partial 16S ribosomal RNA". It matches the Rfam family "Bacterial small subunit ribosomal RNA", at positions 355 to 1376 of the family's 1533-position model. The record is from RNAcentral.
UGAGGAAUAUUGGUCAAUGGUCGCAAGACUGAACCAGCCAUGCCGCGUGCAGGAAGACGGUCCUAUGGAUUGUAAACUGCUUUUAUACAGGAAGAAACCCUCCCACGUGUGGGAGCUUGACGGUACUGUAGGAAUAAGGAUCGGCUAACUCCGUGCCAGCAGCCCCGGUAAUACGGAGGAUCCAAGCGUUAUCCGGAAUCAUUGGGUUUAAAGGGUCCGUAGGCGGUCUUAUAAGUCAGUGGUGAAAGCCCAUCGCUCAACGAUGGAACUGCCAUUGAUACUGUAGGACUUGAAUGCUUAGGAAGUAACUAGAAUAUGUAGUGUAGCGGUGAAAUGCUUAGAUAUUACAUGGAAUACCAAUUGCGAAGGCAGGUUACUACUAAGUGAUUGACGCUGAUGGACGAAAGCGUGGGGAGCGAACAGGAUUAGAUACCCUGGUAGUCCACGCCGUAAACGAUGGAUACUAGCUGUUCGGCGCAAGUUGAGUGGCUAAGCGAAAGUGAUAAGUAUCCCACCUGGGGAGUACGCACGCAAGUGUGAAACUCAAAUGAAUUGACGGGGUCAUAGCUGUUUCCUG